GUGAACGCUGGCGGUAGGCCUAACCCAUGCAAGUCGAACGGCAGCACAGUAAGAGCUUGCUCUUACGGGUGGCGAGUGGCGGACGGGUGAGGAAUACAUCGGAAUCUACUUUUUCGUGGGGGAUAACGUAGGGAAACUUACGCUAAUACCGCAUACGACCUACGGGUGAAAGCAGGGGAUCUUCGGACCUUGCGCGAUUGAAUGAGCCGAUGUCGGAUUAGCUAGUUGGCGGGGUAAAGGUCCACCAAGGCGACGAUCCGUAGCUGGUCUGAGAGGAUGAUCAGCCACACUGGAACUGAGACACGGUCCAGACUCCUACGGGAGGCAGCAGUGGGGAAUAUUGGACAAUGGGCGCAAGCCUGAUCCAGCCAUACCGCGUGGGUGAAGAAGGCCUUCGGGUUGUAAAGCCCUUUUGUUGGGAAAGAAAAGCAGCAGGUUAAUACCCCGCUGUUCUGACGGUACCCAAAGAAUAAGCACCGGCUAACUUCGU
Molecule: ribosomal RNA, 490 nt
Filed under: uncultured bacterium
Lineage: Bacteria
Description: partial 16S ribosomal RNA
Rfam family: Bacterial small subunit ribosomal RNA
Source: RNAcentral